CUCUUACUUUGUCUCCUGGGGGUUUGCAUUUUCUCUGCUCUUUAGCACUGAAUCACAGUAUCUUACAUUUAUAUGGUACCCAAAGGAUCCUGAAGCAUGCAGAAAUUAUAAGCCAAAUUUUGCUCUUGGAAGCAUGAGCUCAGCUCAUACCAAAGUUAAUGGGAGGUGAGCACAAACAUCUAAAGGGAAGAAUUUGCCCUUCAAGACAAACAGGAAUCGUUUCACCCACUGCUGAAACACAGCUGCCUGUGAGGCAAAACAUGGCAAAUGGUGAAAGGCUCAGCCCCACGAGGUGCUGAUCGCUAUCGGCGCUCGAAGACGGCGGCCUCGGGGCAGUCAACACCAGCAGCGGGGUGCUGGCUGCCUUGCGGGUGUCUUGGGGCUCCGUCCCAUCAGUACACAACUUUCUUGGCUUUUACGGUCAAAAACUUAAAGGGCUCUGAAAAUUAACUUUCUUUGUUACUAUUUUGAAUUGACUUGGACUUUUCAACUCAAAAUGUUUCAUUUAAGAGCUUUCUAAGGCCAACAUUUUCAGACUGGGAAGCCUGAAUAAAACCCUUUGGCUUGUGUGCAGCAGCCGUCAUGUCAGAGAGCUGUGCUUGCUGAACUUGCACAUCGGACGAGAUUUAUUUGCAUGUUUAGAAAUUCUCUUUUCUUUUUUUCUUACUGUAGAGACCUUCAGGUGAUGGAGGCCGGUGGUUAGAGGGAGAGCCGAGGUUUCCUUCGCUGGCAGGGAGCUGGGUGUCAGGUUAGGGAUGGUGGCUGGUGGCACGUCAAGCUGGCUGCCCACCUGAUGGCCCAGGCAGGUAGAGGCACAGACCAUGGGAUUAAACCCAGCGCCCAGCACACCGAGUAGCAGAGCUGAAACUCCCUUCCCAUGCUCUUGUUUUCCUUUAGCUUUGCUAGCAAAGGAUGAAUUUCAAACUGUUCUCUCUAAGUUCUUUUUUGGAUAACUCACCCCAAAGAUGCAAUCCAGAUGCAUAGCCAAGUGCCUUAAACCUCUGAACCGACUAAACCAAAUUAUAUAAAAUCUUCUGAGUUUGCAAAAUCGAGUUGGGAAUCUCAAGAAAACAGGCGUGCUUAGGGGAUUUCCAGCAUUUCCUCCUCCUUCGCAGGUUGGCAGUAUCACAGAGCAGCCUCUUCCCAUGGUGUUCUGGCACUCCUGGUCUCCAUCCCAGCCAGAAGAGUAAUUUGCAAAGGUGCCCAAAGUUAAAAAAUUAUGGGGGAGAAUGCUGUUUGGCCUGUUCAAAGCACAGAAGGCUUCUUUUAAGCAUGGGACAAAAUGAUGGCUUCUUAUCCAGACAGGUCCUGCUUUCCCCUACUCCGUGUGAUGGUUAACUGGGGUGGGAAAGCCAAGCACUGCAGGGACCUGAAAGGAAGAGCAGAAGGCUUUUUUCCUGCCUGUUUCACUAGUGGACGGACUUCAACCAAAAGCUCAGAACCAUACUGAAGGAAAAUCGUAAUAAGGCGCCAGGACCAGUUCUUACAAAGGGCCUCUCGCUCUUCAUUAGCGACACUAAAGUCCCGAGUCCAGACCUAAGUGCUGGGAGCACCUGAAAGCAGCCCCAGCCUCAGCUCAGGCUCAGCACGCAGCGAUGCUCGCUGGGACAGCUUGGCACGGUCCUAAAUGCAAGCUCGCAUUUCCAGCCAAGCUCUGACUCUCUCCUAGCCUCUUGCUUUCUUCCAACAGCCAGAAGAGGCCAGGGGCCAGGUCGCAUCAUGGGGGCUGCCCCAGGGGCACCAUCUCCUGCUGAGCUCUGCGCGGGGCUGCUGCAGCCCGUGUGCUCUCGGCUCCCCUCAGUACGGCUUAUCAGCAGAGCCUGGUAGCUGGCCUCAGGACUGCUGCCAAACCAGUGCAAAUCCACAGGAACUAUUUUAGGUUAAAUCCUACAGCUUAGAUGAAUAGGGGCGUGCAUGCACGCGCACACACACACAGUUGCUGUGGCUUGGCAGAUGCGUGGCAACUCAUUAAGCUGCAAUAACUCAAUCACCCGCUAUCAGCCCCAUCUCUAUUCUCUUAACUCCGUGGUUGGGUUUUUUCAAAGGCUCAGCGUGCUUGCAGGUCCCACUGGCAGCGCUGGGGCUUGCAGGUGCUCCAGCCCUCUGAAGAUCAAGGCACUUUUUGUGGAUGUCUAAAUAUAGCUCUGUGCCCUAAUUCGGGGUGCCCGGGUUUCAAAGCAUCACCACUCACCCCUGCAUGAGGAGUGCCCAUGUCAGGAGGCCACAGCACCCAUGGUAGAGAAGCUGAUGGGAUGAGCACAGAGAAAGGGGCUUGGAUUUGAAUUAGGCACUGCAAUGCUGGCCUGAAUACAGGGGGGAGAUGCUCGGAGGUGGGGGGUGGGGGGGAAGCCUGACCUUGGUGUGACUCCACAAGCCCUCGUGUCUAUUUAUCGUCGUCAUUCCGAGCUCUCUCUUUCAGCUUACAAAUGCAAUGAACCAGCUUCCCUGAGAUCAUGUUUUAAAUAUACUGCCCUGGGGCUACACUUUAAAAUUCAAAACAUUGGAGGACACAUGGGGAGGGCGUUCCGCAUCAUUUUUGACACAGAGAAAUUCUCCUUGACAGCCCCAAAGGUGAGCACCAGCAAGCCCUGAGCCACACGCACAGUGCAGCACAACGCUGGAGCACAAAAAUGCAAUUUUCUCAUACCGACUUCUCUUCCACCCCAUUUGCCCUCAAAUCUGAAUCAUGUUGCUGAAAGAGUUAGAUGUGGAUAAGCCUUAUAAAGGAGUGGAGGUGAGAGGAGAAGUGAUGGUGCUGAGGGUCAGGCAGGCACAAGACAAGCAAGGGAAGAGCUCUGGUGAUGGAUGCACCUACCAUUAGCUCCAGCAAGAUUCAGAGGGCUAUGGGGUGAUGGUCUGAGCCUUGCCACUGCAGCAAUGUGCCUCCUUUCCUAAGGCAAACUGGCACGGGGAACAUGGUGACUUCAGAGCUCAGCCCAAGCUCUGCAUUGCCACCAGCAGCCACCCCGACAGAUGGAGCAUGUACCUUUAAGUGCUGCUCACUUGCCCCCUAAAAGGGAGACAAAAAUAUAUUAAAAAAAAAAAAAAUAGCCGUUAGGAGUUAUAUUACCUGCAACAGCUGAAUUUAAUUAGUAGCGCAAUCACAACAAAUAUUUAAAAGGUCUAAGAAGCCACAAAGGGAAAUUUGCUUUCCUGUACCUCAUGUGCGCCGUGCUCAGCAGCGCUCUGCCAUCAGUGACUCAGUUUGAGGAAACUUCACACAACUUUGGGGUUUUGUGACCAUGGAGGAGGUAGAGGUUUGGGUACAAAGGAUAAUUUCCUUGCCCUGUUGCUGUGCUCUUCCCAGCCACUAGCCCAGUGCUAGGUGGCUCUGUGUGCUUUGCACCCUGUGCUCCCUAACAUCUGCCUCCAAACAGGAGGAUUUUUUUUCUCCAGUAAGAUGAAACCUGAAAAACAGCAACAGCAAGCAGCAGGCUGCAGCACUGGCCAUGAGCCUGGGGCACCCACAGCACUGUGUAAGUGGUGUGGGAGGUUUUGAUGCCCUGAAUCCCAGCAGCCCAAGCCCAGCUGUGUCAUUGGGCUCUACCCCUUCAUGUGAGCUGGCUCUCAGGUCCCACUGAGGCCACACCAUCGCCUUUCCAUGCAUCAUUCUCCUUUGCAUAGGGCCAACGACCGGUUUGGAGGUACUGUGUGGGUGUCAAGGCCAGGCCUGGCUUGGUUCCUGCAUUCAUGGGCACCUUCUCUGAGGAGCCACAGGGCACCUUCAGCUAAUCACACCCUAAACACACCCAGGUGUCGCUGUGCGGGGGCCAUCAGUGAGCCCCAUUCAUUGCUUGCCCCCUGCAUCCUCCCACCCAUCCUCCUGCUGUGGAAGUCCUCCAGGAACUCCUGUCCCAGUAGAGACCCAGGUCUGCAGUGGGUUGGGGCGCCAGUGCAGGCAGUGAGGAUGCAGCUUUGAGCAAAGCAGCAGUGGAAGAUCUUCCAUGAUCCCUGCAGAGCAGAGGGGGAGACACAGCAGGUGACCAAAAGGCCAUGCACCACCGCCUCCAUGGGAAGCGUCUCUCCUUCAGGGCAGUGAGCUGCGGGGUCCUGCCGUGGGACCAGGAAAAUCCAGGUCUCUGGAAAGGAGCGAGUGGGCUCCUGCACAGCAUUUCAUGCCGGGGCAAAUUCCUCCUCCUCCUGCGACCUCACUGAACCCGGCAGACAAGGAGGGGACUUGGGUUCAUGCCUGCACAAGCACCGAAUUACCACACACGCACUCGCCCCCCGUGCAAGCUAUCUGGACGCUUGGUCUCGACAAGAAGCAACUGCAUGUUAUGUCCUGAUUUACUUCUUCAAGUCAGGACUGCCACCUAGCUCAGCAGGAGUUUUAUCUCCUGGGAUGGGGUGAGGCUUCAAGAAACGGAGAUUUUCAGGAGAAAGGAGUGCAUGCGUAGCUCAGUGAUCUCCACACCUACCUCAGCCUAGUCUACCUCUCACGUACCUCCCCUUCCAGUGGGCACCAGGUAAGCUGCCCCGUUCUGUCACAGCUUAGCUUGCUUUCUCUGCCUACCACCAGUUUCUAGAGGCCUCUGGUGGGACACCUUCAUGGUAGGGAAGAACACGAGGGUUGGUCACCUGUGCCCAAACGGCCUCCAGCCUGGGUCGGCACAUGGGGAGGUGGGAAGCUCGACAGCCCCAAGUCCUGCCCAGCACCCCCAUGCUCGUUCCUGUCAGUCCCGUCAUGCAGCAGCCCAUCCAGAUGCACUGCCUGACUUCUGCCAAUGCGCUCCUGAGGUGGAGGAGAAAAAAAACCUGUCUGGAGCAAAACGCAAAGUCUGGAGCACUUGCUCUCUGGUGGGAUUAGGAGCAGGCCCUCAGCCAGCAGGCCUGGCUGGGGCUGGGGGCGUCCUCGGAAGAUCCUGGGGAGGCAGGGAGCCCCCACAGCUCCCCUGCCUCCAGGCACGGCUGAGUCCCCUGCCUGCACGCCUGUUGGCAAGCCGCAGAUUUGCCAUUUGUGCAUCCCCGGUGCUAUUUCCUUUGCGAAUUUGAGUUUCAAUAUGGAGAACAGUGUGGACUCUGAGCCCAUCUGGACUCAGCCACUUGGGAGUAAAAGCAAAUGUACUUUGAGCUCUGAGACCCCAACACGUCAGUACCCAGGCAGGAGAGCACAUGCCACAAGGGACCUGCAGGGCUCUGGCUGGUGCAAUGCCACACCUGUAGGAGAAGGGACCUUUCCUCUGCCAUAUGGUUGAUGAGAAGCUGGGACCAGCCUGAUGGACAACUGGGGCAAGGAGCUGUGCAGUCCAAAUCCUUCCCAAGACAACAGUCAGAUGGCCAUGAGCAGAAACGGAGGAGAAAGGGGGUGUUUCCUGCACUCCUCUUCUAUUUUAAGGAAAAUAUAUGGUACGUUACGUGAUUUAACAUGCUUUACAUACCAAAAAUGAAGUGAGCAUAAAGGAAUCAUCUGUAUGGAGAGGGAAUCUGAUGAAAAAAAAAGGAACCAGUGUGGGGCAAGGGAAUGACAUAAACAGUUAACUUAAACAAGACACAGUUUGGUGCAACUUGGCUCCGCUCGUAGCCAGCACAUGGGAACGCUGGGCAAAGCCAUAUUGCACUAGUUAUAGGCUCAUCUCAUAGACUUAGAGAUGGAAAAGACUUAUUAGGUCAUUGAGUCCAUCCCACCUGCCAGUGAAGGAUUGUUCCCUGCAGAAUUUUCUCUAUUGCUUUGUACAGUCUAAUUUUAAAUGAUCCAAGCGAUGUGGUCUCAGCCACUUCCUUGGGGAGGCCCUUGCACAGAUACGUUUUGUUUAACUCAGCCUUUAAAUGGUUAACCCUUUUCUCCCCAAUUCUCUUCACGUUUUCAUGUUUCAACUGUCUGAAGCACAAAAGGUUUCUUUUUAUGUUUUUCAGUCUAUUGUACUUACAUAGUUAUAGCCACACAGCCAUCACUGCAGCCUGAUCUGAAACAGAGCAUCACAUCUAACUGGCUAAAAACAUUAAUAAUGUAUCACAGGAAAUAAACCAAAAUUGCUUUAAACAGGUGUGCAAACGACCUCCUCAAAGCCACAAAACAUUCAGGACAUUCCAAUACGAAACAGCUAUCAGCAUGGUGUGGAUGCUCAGCCCAUUGGAGUGGGAACACAACUACUCGUGCUUUAGCACAGGGCUUUUUCUUACCCCUUUCCAUUACACAAAAACCACUCGGCAUUGGGAAAUGGCACAAGAGCACCAGCUGAAUGGCCUGACCAAGGAAAUACAGGCACAGCCAGUACACAGCUGGAUCCAUCCCUGCCAGACACCAGCCCAAAGCAGAAGACUAAAAGAAACUGAAGUGCUGUAGAACUUGUGAAGAACAUCAUGGCAGGUGCACCCAGAGUUCCCGCAGCCUUGCCUCUACCUCAUACAAAGUUGUGUUGCGCAGCUUCAUCGUGAAGCCAUCUGCUCUCAGAGAGGAGAAAGCCAACGUCUGACAUACCACGUGCCAUCAAACAGCCUCAGAAGGACAGCAGUGGGCAAAUGAUACCCUGCAUCUGCUCAGCUCACAUUCAUUUCUAGCCACCUAAGGUUUGGCUGCAACAGCUCUUCUAAACCCAAAUACAUAUGUUGGCUUAGAGGCACCAUAGUAAAGUAGCCUAACAAACCGAGGCAAUUGGUUUUAAUAAGAAUCUUGGCUUGUUUAGACAAUGCACUGGAUCUUCAUGUUGGCACCACAAAUGUUUUUUUAGGAAAAUGUAUGCAUCUUUGCAGCUCUCAGCAACUAAAUCCUCCCUGCACUUCAUGGAAAGGGUUUCCUGGCUAUCCGCUUUCUGAUGUAUUCCAAGUUCCUUGCAGCUGAUUGUUGUCUGGGCUGGAAAUGCUUUUAUAUUCGGCUCAGCCAUUUGCCCCCGUUGCGUGCUGUGAGCAGGGUGUGCGGGUGGCACACUGUGCCCUUCCUCCAUCCCGCACCUACAAACGGGGCCGAGGCAUUUCGAUGCUUCCUGAGUCGCGUCGCACAGAUGUGUUUGGAAUAGCUACGGAAGCGGCUGUCUCCUGCUACCCAGCCUUAUUACAGGCAGUAGCAAUGCUCCCAGAGUUCAAAGGCAUUUCAUGCUCACUGAGCGUUUUUCAGCAAGAAAUCUGAGAUUAAAUAAACUCAAAUCCUCUCCGAGGAGAAAGCAGAAGAUGGAGGGAGAGGCGCUGACUCUCCGCUGCACAGCAUGCGUCUUGGUGUACCUUGGAAAACACCCAGGCGAGGUGCUCCUCAAACCCACGCCUGGCCAGGACGCGUCACUGCUGGGGCCAGACCUGUGCCCACUGCACUACCGUGGAUUUGAAUGGGUUUGUGCCAAGGACACCGACCUGCUCAAAACCUGAACGUCACCCUGGAUACUCCUGAGCGCUUGUCCUAGAGUUCUGGGCAAAAUCCCGAGGGGCUUGGAGAGGAUGCAUUGGAUUUACAGCUUUUCUCCUGCUUUCUUCUAUAAAAGGUGAUAGGUUAGGUUGUCACCAGCAGAAAUACUUUGAUUUAGUGAGUACAGGCACAAGACCUCCUCUCUAGAAAGAGUUACUGCUGACCUGCCAACAAGCAGAGGACUGCAUCUUGCUCUUGUGCUAAAGAAACAGUGCCCAGGGCACAUUUCUGGCCAUGGACAAAAAGGUGGCUCCACUCAUUGCUCAGCCAGGAUUCAGAGGGCACAAGAAAUCAAGUUGUUUGAUGUUUUUCCUCUCCCUAACAACACUGGCUCUGUGGGAAAAAGAAAAUACUUGAGUCAUAGAAGUGACUGCAGUGUCAUUCCUGGUGACGGGGAUGUUUACCAAGGCUCAGCUGGUAGAGCACGGCCCUUAGCAGGCUGCAGGCGUUACUUUGCACCCUCCACACCCUCAGUGAGUGCUGUGGGCUCCCUACAAAGCAGCCAACCUCGCACAAGCUGGAGGCAUUUUGCCUCUGUACAUCUGCAAGACUGAGGUCCGGACUUGAGCCCAUUCCCUACGAGCCUGAGGAAGUCUUGUGCUGGGCAUCCUGGAUGUCACCAGGCUCGUGAAGGUGUUGAUGGUCCCACAGAUGCAGAUGAUGUCCAAAAGAAUGGGGCAUGGAGAUCUACACCCACAGCACACUCAGCUACUUAACUCCCAUCGACUUCACUGAGACAAAGACAUUUAAUACCACUGAGGAUCUGGACCCGACGUGGUUUGGAAUAACCUGUUGGAUACCAUUCCUUACCUUCAGGUGACUAAGGACUCCCAAAAUCCAGUCCCAAAUGCCCCCAGACACUUUGGACAAUCAGCAUAUAACUCUUCCCUGGGCUGCCCGGUUAAAGGCCACUGUGAUGAUGCUGGAAAAGCCAGCAAAGGCUUGACCGUGAAAAAGCCAUCAGGCUCAUAAGUUGGGAAUGAUGCAAUGGCAAUUAGCACAUCUUCUCUGCUGUAGACAAUACGCUGCGAGCCCAGGAUAGAUCUAAAAGCCUGAGAGGCAGGCAGACAAGAGUGUUAUGUCCUCUGUCUGAGAGCCGAAUCCCAGGGAGGGUGGAAAUAGCAAUGUAGGACAGCUACAAGCCUGGAAGGAGACAAAAGCCUGGAUUUGGAACAGCUUGACAAUGAGACGGCAUAGAUGGUUGGGGUUUAAGCUCCAAGGCAUGCUGCAGGACCUCAGUCCACUGGGAGACAAGGCUGGAACAUGUUCUCCAUGCUCAGACCCACAUUAUAGACAUGGGCUGAAUAUUCCACACUGGGAUGUGGGAGAGAAUCAGAAAGAUUCUGAGCCAAUUUUGAAGCAGGAUGGAUAACUACAGCUGGUGCACGUGUGGGAGAAACCUGUUCCUGAAAAUAGCUUACAGCCUUCAGAUCAGACACACGAUGCACGGGCCACCCCGGGGCCCAGUGGUGGCAGCGGAAAGGCUCCCUCUGACUUUAGACGGACUUUAAUCAGAAAACCCAGCAGCCCAGGAGAGUUCACUCCAAGACCAGGGAGCCAGUACUGCUUCUUCUGAGCUUUCCAUCUGCUUUGGGACAUGCAGGUGCAAUUGAAACAAACGAUAAAUCAAAACUCACAACACAGGCUGCAAGGAAGAUCUAAAGGCAUUGCACAAGUUCGUGGCGAAAUGCCUCACCGACAUCGCACUGUCAGGAUGGCCACAGAGCAGCAACAGGCUGGGGCUGCAGGGGUACAGAGAUGAUCUUUGGGACCCAGGGUGGGGACAUCCUCGCUGCCCCUUCUGCCAAGGUCCCUUGUCCAGCAGCUCCCACUGGCAGAACAUGAGCUCACGGUACUGAUCUGCUGCCUCUGGAGGAGCUUAUGGGGAAGGCACAGAGUGCUGCUGAAGUCACAGCAGAAAUGGGAAGAUAUCCUGUGUUAAAUUAUGUUUUUUUUUUUUUUUUUUUUUUUUUUUUUUAAUGUUCAUACACAGAUGCCUUAUUUUGUAGGUCUACAACACACUGCUGUGCAUCAAACGUCUCCCCUUUUGUCCAAAAGGGGUUUGCCCUCCCACCUCUAGCCUUCAGUUUGCAUGAAGGGGCAACCAUCCAACAUGCUCCAAGCACAUUGUCAUAGAAAGGAAAAGAGAAAGAACAGAUAGCAGUAAACCAGGUGACGAAACACUUAUUUAUUGAGAGCUUCCAGAGGGUAGAUCAGGGGAAGCAAAGCAAUAGGACUUCACUGGAGAACAGAGCAAGGCUUUGUAGGAUUUCCCUCCCUGAGAUGUAGGUUAUCUGCAGGCAGCUAGCAUUUAACUAGAACACCAUUGUUCAUUGUCAAUGCCAAAAUCAUAAUAGAAGACAAAUACAGCCCUCACAGGGACCUCCAUGAGCUGUCCCUUGUCCCACCAGCACAGUGAAGGCAGCAGCCAGGCUGCACACUGGCAUGCAGCAGUGUCCACCUCCCAGUCCCAAUGAACCAAGCUGGGUUCCAUCGAUGAAAGGAGGCAUCCCAAAGCUUCAGCACAAAUACACCCCUUCCCUCGGGUCACAGCAUUACUCCUCAUUAGGGUUCUACAUCAAAUAUGGCUUGAAUAAUUUCAGAGUUGUAUCCUUCCUUCUGUGUGCAUACAGAAACCUUAUUUACUCCCAUAAACCUAUCACUCACUUCUUCCAACUGUUGGACUCCUAAGACAAAUCCUCCUGUCCUGUAACAGCCCUAAUGCACAACAGUUGAGGAAAUCAUGGUGUCAGGCAUUAUCCUGCAUCUGUCACACUGUUUUGGUGCCGGCUGGGUCAGCGUUACAGUGUAUGUGGCCACUGCAGCUCCUCAGGCUGCGCCGCGCUGGGCUCGGCACAUAGACAAAGCAGCACUUCAGUACAUCUUCAAAAACAGGGCACACAUUUUUCUAACUGACAGUUCCUUUCAAGUGUUAAAAGGAUAUUAUUUUCUAGCACUUCAAGUACAUACUUUAACUAGUUUAAAAGGAAUUACUGGAAAUGAGGCAACUGUGGACUUCAUAAUUUUUUUUUUGUCUUUCUCUGAAGCGGACAACAGAACAAUGUGGACUUUCAGACUUACCAGACAGUUGAGAUACGUGUGCCAUGGGUCUAUGUGAGAGCCAGUCUGAAGAGAUUAAAUGGCAAUUUGAACCAGCAGCUCCCCAGAACUGAUGUUCUCCCUUGGCAGAGGUCCCUCCAGCAGAAGACAAGAGUGCAUGUUCCAGUACAUGCAUUCCAGUGAACAACUCUUCUUGCCAUCUUCCUCCUCCUUCUGCAUCUUUCAUCUGCUUGAAAUUUAGAGGACGAUUUAGCAGACCUGAAUUUGGCUCCUAAUGAAGGCAUUCUGACUUGUCAAUCUCUCCCCUGGCUGUUGCAAGAAGCCUUGAUAAUAACUUGGGUUGUAUCCACCCUUAGAAGCCAGUGCCUAAUGCUAGGCCAUCUGGACACCCACAAAGUGCCAAACACUGUCGUUCGUAUUUAGUCCAGCUUCCUGCUCAAGUCAAAUGGCAUUUUGAUGACUGACUGCUAAACUGCUCAGGAUUUGACCCUCGUGUGUUUGUCUCGCUGUCUCCAGCAGUGACGAUGGCCCGCUCGUCAGCUGUUUACUCAGUUUGCAAUAGAGCCAGCUGAAAAAUUUUCAACAGAGCAAUUUCUCAUCCAGUACAGUCUAUUCAAAAUCAAAAUAUUUCUCGGCAGUUUGUCAAUUUCAAUGAAAUUUUACAACAGGAGAAUGUCAAAACAUGGUGUUUCAUCACCGCCACAGUGGUUCUUUUCAAUGGCAUUGACGUGUUCCAUUUCAUUAUGGUCUUUUUGCUUCCAUGGAUGCACAUAUUUGAAUAUUAACACAAAUGCUAUACAGAUUUUA
Molecule: long non-coding RNA, 11200 nt
Organism: Oxyura jamaicensis (ruddy duck)
Lineage: Eukaryota; Metazoa; Chordata; Aves; Anseriformes; Anatidae
Exons: 7
Source: RefSeq, a predicted model, not a curated record